RNAcentral lists this ribosomal RNA (192 nucleotides) under uncultured bacterium. RNAcentral describes it as "partial 16S ribosomal RNA". It matches the Rfam family "Bacterial small subunit ribosomal RNA", at positions 340 to 523 of the family's 1533-position model. The record is from RNAcentral.
UACGGGAGGCAGCAGUAGGGAAUUUUGCGCAAUGGACGAAAGUCUGACGCAGCAAUACCGUGUGAGGGAUGAAGCAUUUCGGUGUGUAAACCUCUGUCGAUGACGAAUAAAGCAUUUGGGAGUGGAAAGCCCAGGUGUUGAAGGUAGUCAGAAAGGAAGCACCGGCUAACUCUGUGCCAGCAGCCGCGGUAA